Molecule: long non-coding RNA, 518 nt
Organism: Silurus meridionalis
Lineage: Eukaryota; Metazoa; Chordata; Actinopteri; Siluriformes; Siluridae
Exons: 3
Source: RefSeq, a predicted model, not a curated record
CCGUGUUUGGUGGCCAUGUGGAAAGCCGAGAUCAGUUUGGAACCUCCUGAGAUGGGAUGGUGGUGGUGGUGAUGGUGGUGGUGAUGAUGUUCUAAACUCAGCGGAUCCUUCAUCGAGUUCAUCGAGCGUUAAAAAUAAAUCAGGCAGAACAUCAUGUGCAGGGUCUGAGUGAAUUCCUGAGCAUCCGAGAAAGUGGAACUGUCUCAAUGACUGAGAGAACCCCCUGGUCUCUUCCAAAAAGUCUUUUACGUGCCCUUUAUUUGCCUUCCGACAGAAAAAAAAGAAGAAACCAGAAAAGGCGAUGUUUUAGAAGAGACUUAAUCAAUCUGAUCAUCUGUAAAUACAAAACUCACCGCGAGACUGAAUCGCUCUGUCUCACAUUCACACUCUGAUUUUUAUUUUAAUUAAAGCUGAAACGCUUUUUACAAAUUACCUUUCGCCAUCAAAUCUCUUAAACAAUCAAAUAUUUUAUUCUUGUCCUGGUGUAAAUUUAUUAUAAAUGAUCAUUAAUAAACGGA